Molecule: non-coding RNA, 82 nt
Filed under: Pseudomonas aeruginosa
Lineage: Bacteria; Pseudomonadati; Pseudomonadota; Gammaproteobacteria; Pseudomonadales; Pseudomonadaceae
Source: RNAcentral
UCAUGGCGGCUGUGCGUGGGAGACCUUCGGGUCUGCCGGGUACCAAGGCCCCGGUUCGCCAACCUGCGCACAGCUGCCUCCA